CUCCCCAGCUUCCCACUGUCUCACCCUUGUUACUGAUCCUCCAACAUGGCGCGUGGGUCUACUUCCGGAGCACACCAUUACUCCCAACAUCAAGGCAGCAAUGAAUGCAGAGCACUGGAAGAUGUCCCUAAGGACCCCACUGGGACAUAGGAAUAAUCAAGAUGGCACUUCAUUUGAGCAUAGUGACCAUAGGCCAGAGUAGAUGAAAAAUAAAGAGACAGAAGAGGGAAAAAUACGAGAAAGC
Molecule: long non-coding RNA, 244 nt
Organism: Marmota flaviventris (yellow-bellied marmot)
Lineage: Eukaryota; Metazoa; Chordata; Mammalia; Rodentia; Sciuridae
Source: RefSeq, a predicted model, not a curated record